CGGAAUGUUGGGGCUAGAGUGAGGCAGCUCAACUGCUAGAGUGAGAGGAGCAAAAAAAUUAAUCUUAAAAUAUUUUUUAAAACUGCUGCUGUGUCUGCAGCGUUUGCUCUACAGGUAUGAUUUUACCCUCAAAACGUAGCCAUGGCUGUCCUCUUUCAUCCAAUGUGUUUACUAUUGUACUAGGUGUUAUGGUUCUUUCAUAAAUGUCACCAAUGCACAGCCUCCUCCCUCCAACUCUUCCAUAGACUCUAAUGUUAAAAUGGCUCAGAAGGUUCGUUUGAAAAUCAGAAGAGCAUGGUGUCUUUACACUGUCACCACGUCCAUAUAAUAAGCUCCACAGGCAUGAAAACUGAGAAUUAGGUAGACUAGACAUGGCUGUCGCUCACGGUGAAAGAAUUUUGUCAAUACGACAUGUACUUUUCAUUUGGGAAGAAUUUGUUUGGGCCUGACUUUUCUGUUCAUUUUAAGCAGCAAAAGUGAGGCGCAUGUCUGUGUACGUGUGUAUGGAGCCAUUGGGUGCGGUCACUAUAGCAACCAGGCUCACACCUGCCUGCUUAACGAGCUCUGCCUGCCACUGUACCAAGAUUCAUCUUAAGCACUUCUCUUUCAACUGCUGCUGUGUCCACAGUGUUACAGCCAUCAUUUUACCCUCAAAUUGUCGCCAUUAUUGUUCUCUUUCCAACACCGUAUCUUUCAAAGCUCAGGCAUUUAAACUUUUUAAACUGUGUGGAUCAAAGUGGAGGGAUCACAUUUGAGUCAUUCAGUGAUUCAAAGAAUAUGACCUUUUAAUAUUCAUUCAGAUGUUUUCUGACUCUAAAUGUUCUUUUCUCAUUUCUUAGGGUUUUCUAAUUUACAUUUAAAACAUUUUCAGUUUUUUUCCAACUCCUUCUUCUGUGUAACCUUCAGCUUUUAGCAGUUCAGCACCUUUGUUUUCAGGUUAAAUUCGUUUUUUUUUUUUGUUUUUUUUUAAUCUCAUUCAAUAUUUUUAACUCAAAAUUCAGCAAUUAAUUCAUUUCAGUGCAUACAUUCAGAUUCAAGCAUUCACACUGCAGUUUCUUCAGAAAAUGCACUUUCUAGUUAUUAUAUUUUAUCUAUUCCGUACGUUUUUUGAAAGCCUACUCCUUCAAAACCGUUCAACUUAGAAAAACCAUUCAAACACCAUUAGAUUCCUAUUCUUUUGGACACUGUUGCUUGUAUUUUUCUCAUUUUUAACAUUUAUAUUUUUAAUUUUAUUCAACUUUAUUCAACAAAAAUUUCCCAUGUAUUUCAAUGGGGAGACCCUUCAAAUUCUCAUUCAACUUACUCAUUUUUAAACUCUUACUACUUCAACAUACGUUCACAUAGAGCCACCAUUCAAACUUUAAAACGAAGACAAGACAUUCAACUAUUCAACUUGUAUUUAUCUUUUCAAUAUCUAUUAUACUUUUUCUUCAGUUCCAGUUUAAGUUUCAUGAUGUUUUUUCACCCGUUUCAGAGUUUAUAAUGGGUGUGUAUGGGACGGAAUGUUGGGGCUAGAGUGAGACAGCUCAACUGCUAGAGUGAGAGGAGCAAAAAAAA
This is a long non-coding RNA of Astatotilapia calliptera (eastern happy), 1557 nucleotides long. NCBI's taxonomy places the organism in Eukaryota, Metazoa, Chordata, Actinopteri, Cichliformes, Cichlidae. The record is from Ensembl.